AAAAAUGCACAUAAAACAAACAUAAGACAUAUAUAGAUAAAAGUAGAAAUAUCAAUGUAUAGACGUAGUUUAUAUAAUAUUCCAAAUGCGAUAAUAUAAGAUGAGUUAUGUAAAUACGAGAAAUAUAAAAAAAAAGAUAAAAUAAGAUGAAAUGGUGAGAUCAUAUAGUAGGGAUGUCGUCUUCCUGAGAGGAUCCACAGAGCAUGGCUACCUCCUGCCUGAGCUCUGCGAUCUCCUGAUAUAGACAGUCGGGUUCAGUAGCAUGGGUGAGAUCAGACACUCCCAUCUGUAAAGUGAGGUCAAC
This 304-nucleotide long non-coding RNA is filed under the name Lathyrus oleraceus (garden pea). Its description in RNAcentral is "Pisum sativum (pea) long non-coding RNA (PSAT_LNC030296)". The record is from RNAcentral. Lineage: Eukaryota; Viridiplantae; Streptophyta; Magnoliopsida; Fabales; Fabaceae.